RNAcentral lists this unclassified non-coding RNA (1007 nucleotides) under Hevea brasiliensis (rubber tree). Lineage: Eukaryota; Viridiplantae; Streptophyta; Magnoliopsida; Malpighiales; Euphorbiaceae. The record is from RNAcentral.
GGCCACUAGAAAGGCUGUACUCUCGGAUCUCUCAAAGACAUGGGUAUGUAUGGCCUAGCAAAGGUAAAAAUGAAGGAACUCCCAUGAAGAAAGAAUAUCAUGGAAAUUACAAUAAUGAGGCAUAUAAUCAAAAUUACGAAUUAAUAUGUUAUAAUCAAUGUGCAAGUGACUUUAGUUCAUUGGAUUAUGCAACAUACACUGCUAACCUUUUGUCUCCUUACUGUUUAUCCCUUCCUUGGCAUAAAUGAAGUCUAACAGAAAACAUUCUCCCCCAAUUGCAUAACCUUCAAAAGUGAAAAUCUUAAUAUUCACGUAUCUUUCUUCUCUAGCUUAAUCAAAAUUGAAAAAACUAUAUUACAGGAAGAGCAAGUCAAAGCAAACCAGAAAAUUUACCAAACUCUUGGCAACUAUAUCAUAGUCAACAAAAAAUACUCUUCCAUGCCCUCACGCACCUGAACUGAGGCAUCUCCACUAUCCGAAAUCACAACUAUCCAACUCUUGUAAGAGUACCUCCAAUUCAUGGUUAAAUCCGCGGUAGCACCAGAAGCAACUAGGACAAUACCCAUCUCCCCAGUUUCAACAGAUGAAGAGGCAACACGGACACUACUAAUCGUGAUGUUUGAAAGAACCAUAUGGACUUGGCCAAGAAGUGGGAUUUUCACUGACUUCUUUAUGUCUGGCAGAUGAAGCGGAAUCAUGGAGGAUAUUGCCUUUUUUAUAAGCAUAUUCUUAGCAAAAUCAAUACCUUUAUCGGAUAAGAGCACAGAUACAUACCCUUGUUCUUUGGAUUGGAGAUGGGUACUUGCAGGAAUCAAUAGAAGUGACAAAACUAAGAAGAAAGUAGGGUGUGCCAUGAAAUUCAAGAAGAAACCCAUGUAAGAAAUAUGACUAAAUCAUAGAAUAGACCAUAAAAAACCGCAGAGAGAAGCAGCUUAAAGAAAGAUUUUUUGGUGAAAGUAACCGGAGGAGGAUGUUAUGUGCAAGAAGAGGUGAGCAUUUGGAUUUUA